RNAcentral lists this ribosomal RNA (430 nucleotides) under Bacteroidota bacterium. RNAcentral's name for it is "Bacteroidetes bacterium partial 16S ribosomal RNA". It matches the Rfam family "Bacterial small subunit ribosomal RNA", at positions 355 to 776 of the family's 1533-position model. The record is from RNAcentral. Lineage: Bacteria; Pseudomonadati; Bacteroidota.
UAGGGAAUCUUCGGCAAUGGGGGGAACCCUGACCGAGCAACGCCGCGUGAGUGAAGAAGGUUUUCGGAUCGUAAAGCUCUGUUGUUAAGGAAGAACGAGUGUGAGAAUGGAAAGUUCAUACUGUGACGGUACUUAACCAGAAAGGGACGGCUAACUACGUGCCAGCAGCCGCGGUAAUACGUAGGUCCCGAGCGUUGUCCGGAUUUUUUGGGCGUAAAGCGAGCGCAGGCGGUUAGAUAAGUCUGAUGUGAAAGCCCCCGGCUCAACCGGGGAGGGUCAGUGGAAACUGGUUGACUUGAGUGCAGAAGAGGAGAGUGGAAUUCCAUGUGUAGCGGUAAAAUGCGUAGAUAUAUGGAGGAACGCCAGUGACGAAGGCGACUCUCUGGUCAGUAACUAACGCUGAGGCUCGAAAGCGUGGGUAGCGAACAGG